GAGACACUCUUAGGGGCGAUACUUGCUUCAGUGGGGCUUUGGUGAUCACUGAGUCUGCCCCCUGAAUGUGUCCCU
Non-coding RNA from Myotis lucifugus (little brown bat), 75 nucleotides. The record is from Rfam. NCBI's taxonomy places the organism in Eukaryota, Metazoa, Chordata, Mammalia, Chiroptera, Vespertilionidae.